UACGGAGGGUGCGAGCGUUGUCCGGAAUCACUGGGCGUAAAGGGCGCGUAGGCGGCGCGGGUAGUCAUCGGUGAAAGUUCAGGGCUCAACUCUGAAUCGGCCGGUGAUACUCCCAUGCUCGAGCACUGUAGAGGCAGGUGGAAUUCCGGGUGUAGCGGUGGAAUGCGUAGAGAUCCGGAAGAACACCCGUGGCGAAGGCGGCUCUCUGGGACGGUACUGACGCUGAGACGCGAAAGCGUGGGGAGCGAACAGG
RNAcentral lists this ribosomal RNA (253 nucleotides) under uncultured bacterium. RNAcentral describes it as "partial 16S ribosomal RNA". It matches the Rfam family "Bacterial small subunit ribosomal RNA", at positions 524 to 776 of the family's 1533-position model. The record is from RNAcentral.